RNAcentral lists this ribosomal RNA (253 nucleotides) under uncultured bacterium. Its description in RNAcentral is "partial 16S ribosomal RNA". It matches the Rfam family "Bacterial small subunit ribosomal RNA", at positions 524 to 776 of the family's 1533-position model. The record is from RNAcentral.
UACAGAGGGUGCGAGCGUUGUCCGGAAUCACUGGGCGUAAAGGGCGCGUAGGCGGCUCUGCAAGCGUGCGGUGAAAGCUCGGGGCUUAACUCCGAGUCUGCCGUGCGAACUGUGAGGCUUGAGUCUGGUAGAGGUCGAUGGAAUUCCGGGUGUAGCGGUGGAAUGCGUAGAGAUCCGGAAGAACACCCGUGGCGAAGGCGGUUCUCUGGGACGGUACUGACGCUGAGACGCGAAAGCGUGGGGAGCGAACAGG